AGAGUUUGAUCCUGGCUCAGAUUGAACGCUGGCGGCAGGCCUAACACAUGCAAGUCGAACGGUAACAGGAAGAAGCUUGCUUCUUUGCUGACGAGUGGCGGACGGGUGAGUAAUGUCUGGGAAACUGCCUGAUGGAGGGGGAUAACUACUGGAAACGGUAGCUAAUACCGCAUAACGUCGCAAGACCAAAGAGGGGGACCUUCGGGCCUCUUGCCAUCGGAUGUGCCCAGAUGGGAUUAGCUAGUAGGUGGGGUAACGGCUCACCUAGGCGACGAUCCCUAGCUGGUCUGAGAGGAUGACCAGCCACACUGGAACUGAGACACGGUCCAGACUCCUACGGGAGGCAGCAGUGGGGAAUAUUGCACAAUGGGCGCAAGCCUGAUGCAGCCAUGCCGCGUGUAUGAAGAAGGCCUUCGGGUUGUAAAGUACUUUCAGCGGGGAGGAAGGGAGUAAAGUUAAUACCUUUACUCAUUGACGUUACCCGCAGAAGAAGCACCGGCUAACUCCGUGCCAGCAGCCGCGGUAAUACGGAGGGUGCAAGCGUUAAUCGGAAUUACUGGGCGUAAAGCGCACGCAGGCGGUUUGUUAAGUCAGAUGUGAAAUCCCCGGGCUCAACCUGGGAACUGCAUCUGAUACUGGCAAGCUUGAGUCUCGUAGAGGGGGGUAGAAUUCCAGGUGUAGCGGUGAAAUGCGUAGAGAUCUGGAGGAAUACCGGUGGCGAAGGCGGCCCCCUGGACGAAGACUGACGCUCAGGUGCGAAAGCGUGGGGAGCAAACAGGAUUAGAUACCCUGGUAGUCCACGCCGUAAACGAUGUCGACUUGGAGGUUGUGCCCUUGAGGCGUGGCUUCCGGAGCUAACGCGUUAAGUCGACCGCCUGGGGAGUACGGCCGCAAGGUUAAAACUCAAAUGAAUUGACGGGGGCCCGCACAAGCGGUGGAGCAUGUGGGUUUAAUUCGAUGCAACGCGAAGAACCUUACCUGGGCUUGACAUCCACCGGAAAUUUUCUAAAAAUGAGAAAUGUGCCUUCCGGGAACCCUGAGACAAGGGGCUCCAUGGCUGUCCUCCACCCCCGGUUGUGGAAAAAAUGUGUGUUAAUUCCCCCCACCAAAGGGAACCCCUUAUUCUUUUUGUGUCACCCGGGCGCGCGCGGGAACUCCAAAAGAGAAUGUCCCUGGUAAACCUGAGGGAAGAGUGGGGGUAGAAUUCAAAUCUUAUUUGGCCUUUUAAACACAAGGGGUUCACACUUGGUUUCAAUGGGCCGUAUCAAAAAGAAAACGACUCUCGCGAAGAAAGCGACCUCAUAAAGUGCGUCGUAGUCCGGAUUGGAGUCUGCAACUCGACUCCAUGAAGUCGGAAUCGCUAGUAAUCGUGGAUCAGAAUGCCACGGUGAAUACGUUCCCGGGCCUUGCACACACCGCCCGUC
Molecule: ribosomal RNA, 1424 nt
Filed under: uncultured bacterium
Lineage: Bacteria
Description: bacterial SSU rRNA
Rfam family: Bacterial small subunit ribosomal RNA
Source: RNAcentral